Molecule: ribosomal RNA, 650 nt
Filed under: Enterococcus casseliflavus
Lineage: Bacteria; Bacillati; Bacillota; Bacilli; Lactobacillales; Enterococcaceae
Description: bacterial SSU rRNA
Rfam family: Bacterial small subunit ribosomal RNA
Source: RNAcentral
GCUCAGGACGAACGCUGGCGGCGUGCCUAAUACAUGCAAGUCGAACGCUUUUUCUUUCACCGGAGCUUGCUCCAUCGAAAGAAAAAGAGUGGCGAACGGGUGAGUAACACGUGGGUAACCUGCCCAUCAGAAGGGGAUAACACUUGGAAACAGGUGCUAAUACCGUAUAACACUAUUUUCCGCAUGGAAGAAAGUUGAAAGGCGCUUUUGCGUCACUGAUGGAUGGACCCGCGGUGCAUUAGCUAGUUGGUGAGGUAACGGCUCACCAAGGCAACGAUGCAUAGCCGACCUGAGAGGGUGAUCGGCCACACUGGGACUGAGACACGGCCCAGACUCCUACGGGAGGCAGCAGUAGGGAAUCUUCGGCAAUGGACGAAAGUCUGACCGAGCAACGCCGCGUGAGUGAAGAAGGUUUUCGGAUCGUAAAACUCUGUUGUUAGAGAAGAACAAGGAUGAGAGUAAAAUGUUCAUCCCUUGACGGUAUCUAACCAGAAAGCCACGGCUAACUACGUGCCAGCAGCCGCGGUAAUACGUAGGUGGCAAGCGUUGUCCGGAUUUAUUGGGCGUAAAGCGAGCGCAGGCGGUUUCUUAAGUCUGAUGUGAAAGCCCCCGGCUCAACCGGGGAGGGUCAUUGGAAACUGGGAGACUGA